This 112-nucleotide ribosomal RNA is filed under the name uncultured eukaryote. RNAcentral's name for it is "partial small subunit ribosomal RNA". It matches the Rfam family "Bacterial small subunit ribosomal RNA", at positions 1416 to 1525 of the family's 1533-position model. The record is from RNAcentral.
UUCACCCGAAGGCGGUUCGCUAACCCGUAAGGGAGGCAGCCGACCACGGUGAGGUCAGCGACUGGGGUGAAGUCGUAACAAGGUAGCCGUAGGUGAACCUGCAGAAGGAUCA